GCUGUGAGCUCGAUGAGUAGGGCGGGACACGUGGUAUCCUGUCUGAAUAUGGGGGGACCAUCCUCCAAGGCUAAAUACUCCUGACUGACCGAUAGUGAACCAGUACCGUGAGGGAAAGGCGAAAAGAACCCCGGCGAGGGGAGUGAAAAAGAACCUGAAACCGUGUACGUACAAGCAGUGGGAGCACAGGUUUACCUGUGUGACUGCGUACCUUUUGUAUAAUGGGUCAGCGACUUAUAUUCUGUAGCAAGGUUAACCGAAUAGGGGAGCCGGAGGGAAACCGAGUCUUAAUUGGGCGUUAAGUUGCAGGGUAUAGACCCGAAACCCGGUGAUCUAGCCAUGGGCAGGUUGAAGGUUGGGUAACACUAACUGGAGGACCGAACCGACUAAUGUUGAAAAAUUAGCGGAUGACCUGUGGCUGGGGGUGAAAGGCCAAUCAAACCGGGAGAUAGCUGGUUCUCCCCGAAAGCUAUUUAGGUAGCGCCUCGUGAA
Molecule: ribosomal RNA, 492 nt
Filed under: Salmonella enterica subsp. enterica serovar Kentucky
Lineage: Bacteria; Pseudomonadati; Pseudomonadota; Gammaproteobacteria; Enterobacterales; Enterobacteriaceae
Description: partial 23S ribosomal RNA
Rfam family: Bacterial large subunit ribosomal RNA
Source: RNAcentral